This is a long non-coding RNA of Lepidothrix coronata (blue-crowned manakin), 794 nucleotides long. RefSeq lists it as uncharacterized. The transcript is spliced from 4 exons. Lineage: Eukaryota; Metazoa; Chordata; Aves; Passeriformes; Pipridae. The record is from RefSeq and is a predicted model, not a curated record.
GACCACUUCCCUGGGGAGCCUGUUCCAGUGCCCAACCAUCCUCUGGGGUGUUUUGUUCUGUCCACAAAAGAAAGGAUAGAUCUGCUUCAUUCAGUUUGAGUAUUGAAAAGUAGCAGUGCCUGCUGUGAACUCUGCCUGCUUCUCUCUGACGUGAUUGAGAGAAUUUUGGAUGAUCAAUCUACUGGAGAAUGACAGUGGAGAGAAGGCAAAUUUUAUCCUAGGAUGUCACUACAUAAAUCAACUGAUCUCAGAUUCUAAGAGGAAAGCAAUAGAGAGGAGUUUGGAAGGAGAAGAAAGGCUUAAAGCUCCAGUGUCUGUGCUGUGAUUGUUUUGUGCCGUCUGUGAUGGAAGAGAUAACACACCUUUUCCCUGACUCUGACAUGGCAGACAUCCACACUCCCACAAACAAUUCCAGCUCCAUCACUGUCAUCAUCUUUCCAGCAAAGGGCUAAGGGUUGUUCUUCCCCCUUCCCCCGCUCCUCAGUCUAUCAGAGAUAGUCAGGGCUCAUCUGCACAAAAAAGUUUUACCUGAUUUAAAGGAGUAGCUCUACAGAUGCCUCUCUCCCCUCGUGGGCGUCUGUCCCGUGCUCACCCUCUCUCAUGCUUGUGUGAGAGAUGCUUUUUGGUUUUCACUUCUACCCAUUCCCACAUGAUAGAAACUAACUUGAAGAAACACAUUUUCAUGUACCUGAAUGUAAACACAGAAUGGAAGAGUUAAUCCUUUGCCUUCUGUUUCAUAUUCAGUCCUUUUGAGUACACAGAAGAAAAACCCAUGCUCAUGGUGACCUACAUAA